This 406-nucleotide ribosomal RNA is filed under the name uncultured bacterium. RNAcentral describes it as "partial 16S ribosomal RNA". It matches the Rfam family "Bacterial small subunit ribosomal RNA", at positions 30 to 526 of the family's 1533-position model. The record is from RNAcentral.
AUUGAACGCUGGCGGCAGGCUUAACACAUGCAAGUCGAACGAGUGGCGGACGGGUGAGUAAUGUAUGGGGAUCUGCCCGAUAGAGGGGGAUAACUACUGGAAAGGGUGGCUAAUACCGCAUACUAUUGGAGCGACCCAUAUGGGAUUAGCUAGUUGGUGGGGUAAAGGCUCACCUAGGCGACGAUCUCUAGCUGGUCUGAGAGGAUGACCAGCCACACUGGGACUGAGACACGGCCCAGACUCCUACGGGAGGCAGCAGUGGUGAAUUUUGCACAAUGGGCGCAAGCCUGAUGCAGCCAUGCCGCGUGUAUGAAGAAGGCCUUAGGGUUGUAAAGUACUUUCAGCGGGGAGGCGUUACCUGCAGAAGAAGCACCGGCUAACUCCGUGCCAGCAGCCGCGGUAAUUC